Molecule: ribosomal RNA, 571 nt
Filed under: Pseudomonadota bacterium
Lineage: Bacteria; Pseudomonadati; Pseudomonadota
Description: Proteobacteria bacterium (sponge metagenome) partial 23S ribosomal RNA
Rfam family: Bacterial large subunit ribosomal RNA
Source: RNAcentral
GGUCAAGCAAGCAAGGGCACACGGGGAAUGCCUUGGCGCCAGGAGGCGAUGAAGGACGUGGCAGGCUGCGAUAUGCCUCGGGGAGCUGCCUAACAAGCUUUGAUCCGGGGAUUUCCGAAUGGGGAAACCCGGCCGGGGUCAUGCCCGGUCAUCCCGCGCUGAAUACAUAGGCGCGCGGAAGCAAACUCGGGGAACUGAAACAUCUAAGUACCCGAAGGAAGAGAAAUCAACCGAGAUUCUCCUAGUAGCGGCGAGCGAACGGGGAACAGCCCAAACCGAGGGGAAGAAAUUCGCCUCGGGGUUGUGGGACCUCGACAUGGUACCCGGAGGGGUAGAAGAACGGUCUGGAAAGUCCGGCCAUAGACGGUGAUAGCCCGGUAUUCGAAACCUCGAAGGGACCUAGAGGGAUCCCGAGUAGCGCCGGACACGAGAAAUCCGGCGUGAAUCUGGGGGGACCAUCCUCCAAGGCUAAAUACUACCUGGCGACCGAUAGUGAACCAGUACCGUGAGGGAAAGGUGAAAAGAACCCCGGUGAGGGGAGUGAAAUAGACCCUGAAACCGUGUGCUUACA